GACGAACGCUGGCGGCGUGCCUAAUACAUGCAAGUAGAACGCUGAAGAGAGGAGCUUGCUCUUCUUGGAUGAGUUGCGAACGGGUGAGUAACGCGUAGGUAACCUGCCUUGUAGCGGGGGAUAACUAUUGGAAACGAUAGCUAAUACCGCAUAACAAUGGAUGACACAUGUCAUUUAUUUGAAAGGGGCAAUUGCUCCACUACAAGAUGGACCUGCGUUGUAUUAGCUAGUAGGUGAGGUGAUGGCUCACCUAGGCGACGAUACAUAGCCGACCUGAGAGGGUGGUCGGCCACACUGGGACUGAGACACGGCCCAGACUCCUACGGGAGGCAGCAGUAGGGAAUCGUCGGCAAUGGGGGCAACACUGACCGAGCAACGCCGCGUGAGUGAAGAAGGUUUUCGGGUCGUAAAGCUCUGUUGUAAGUCAAGAACGGGUGUGAGAGUGGAAAGUUCACACUGUGACGGUAGCUUACCAGAAAGGGACGGCUAACUACGUG
This 497-nucleotide ribosomal RNA is filed under the name uncultured bacterium. Its description in RNAcentral is "partial 16S ribosomal RNA". It matches the Rfam family "Bacterial small subunit ribosomal RNA", at positions 28 to 507 of the family's 1533-position model. The record is from RNAcentral.